CAACUUUCAACAACGGAUCUCUUGGCUCUCGCAUCGAUGAAGAACGCAGCGAAACGCGAUAUGUAAUGUGAAUUGCAGAAUUCAGUGAAUCAUCGAAUCUUUGAACGCACCUUGCGCCUUUUGGUAUUCCGAAAGGCAUGCCUGUUUGAGUGUC
Molecule: ribosomal RNA, 154 nt
Filed under: Tremella flava
Lineage: Eukaryota; Fungi; Basidiomycota; Tremellomycetes; Tremellales; Tremellaceae
Description: 5.8S ribosomal RNA
Rfam family: 5.8S ribosomal RNA
About the family: 5.8S ribosomal RNA (5.8S rRNA) is a component of the large subunit of the eukaryotic ribosome. It is transcribed by RNA polymerase I as part of the 45S precursor that also contains 18S and 28S rRNA. Functionally, it is thought that 5.8S rRNA may be involved in ribosome translocation.
Source: RNAcentral